AGCAGCCGCGGUAAUUCCAGCUCCAAUAGCGUAUAUUAAAGUUGUUGCAGUUAAAAAGCUCGUAGUUGAAUUUCGGGACCAAUAUGUCGGUCGUGCCUCGGUACGUACUGGUGUCAUUGGUUUCUCCCUUCUGAGGAUCCUUGAUGUCAUUAAUUUGGUGUCUUGGGGAAUCAGGACUGUUACCUUGAAAAAAUUAGAGUGUUUAAAGCAGGCAUGCGCUUGAAUACAUUAGCAUGGAAUAAUGAAAUAGGACGUUCGAUUCUAUUUUGUUGGUUUCUAGGAUCGACGUAAUGAUUAAUAGGGAUAGUUGGGGGCAUUAGUAUUCAAUUGUCAGAGGUGAAAUUCUUGGAUUUAUUGAAGACUAACUACUGCGAAAGCAUUUGCCAAGGAUGUUUUCAUUAAUCAAGAACGAAAGUUAGGGGAUCGAAGACGAUCAGAUACCGUCGUAGUCUUAACCAUAAACUAUGCCGACUAGGGAUCGGAUGAUGUUAAUUUUUUAAUGACUCAUUCGGCGCCUUACG
RNAcentral lists this ribosomal RNA (521 nucleotides) under uncultured Glomus. RNAcentral describes it as "SSU rRNA". It matches the Rfam family "Eukaryotic small subunit ribosomal RNA", at positions 569 to 1092 of the family's 1831-position model. Lineage: Eukaryota; Fungi; Glomeromycota; Glomeromycetes; Glomerales; Glomeraceae. The record is from RNAcentral.